This 424-nucleotide unclassified non-coding RNA is filed under the name soil metagenome. RNAcentral describes it as "partial contains 5.8S ribosomal RNA, internal transcribed spacer 2, and large subunit ribosomal RNA". The stretch from base 1 to 120 matches the Rfam family "5.8S ribosomal RNA", at positions 35 to 154 of the family's 154-position model. The record is from RNAcentral.
GAUGAAGAACGCAGCGAAAUGCGAUAAGUAGUGUGAAUUGCAGAAUUCCGUGAAUCAUCGAAUCUUUGAACGCACAUUGCGCCUUCUGGUAUUCCGGAAGGCAUGCCUGUUCGAGAGUCAUUAACAACCGUUUCGAUCCCUUUCUUUCAGAAAUUACAAAGAGGAAAAGGGUUUGGUUAUGGUGGAGGAGGGAAAGGGAGCGUUUAGCCUGUAAAAAAAGAGGCUGUGUUCCGCCUCCCCCCCAAAAUUGUACAGGCGGUCGUGUGCGCCCACGCAUCGAGGUGUUGUAAAAGCUGCCACGGCACUUUUCACCUGUGCAGUGCGAGAUUGGCCAGCCGGUUUAAAAACCCCUCCAAACAAUCAAAGGUUGACCUCGGAUCAGGUAGGGAUACCCGCUGAACUUAAGCAUAUAAUAAGCGGAGGA